Molecule: ribosomal RNA, 440 nt
Filed under: uncultured bacterium
Lineage: Bacteria
Description: partial 16S ribosomal RNA
Rfam family: Bacterial small subunit ribosomal RNA
Source: RNAcentral
CCUACGGGUGGCUGCAGUGGGGAAUAUUGCACAAUGGGGGCAACCCUGAUGCAGCGAUGCCGCGUGAGUGAAGAAGUAAUUCUUUAUUUAACACUCUAUCAGCAGGGAAGAAAAUGACGUUACCUGAGUAAGAAUCCCCGGCUAACUACGUGCCAGCAGCCGCGGUAAUACGUAGGGGGCAAGCGUAAUCCGGAUUUACUGGGUGUAAAGGGAGCGUAGACGGCAGUGCAAGUCUGGAGUGAAAGGCGGGGGCUCAACCCCCGGACUGCCCUGGAAACUGUACGGCUAGAGUGCAGGAGAGGUAAGUGGAAUUCCUAGUGUAGCGGUGAAAUGCGUAGAGAUUAGGAAGAACACCAGUGGCGAAGGCGGCUUACUGGACUGCAACUGACGUUGAGGCUCGAAAGCGUGGGGAGCAAACAGGAUUAGAUACCCGGGUAGUC